UACCAGAUAUAGACUCAGUGUCGGUAGA
This 28-nucleotide small RNA is filed under the name Bombyx mori (domestic silkworm). RNAcentral describes it as "ovarian small RNA-20561". Lineage: Eukaryota; Metazoa; Arthropoda; Insecta; Lepidoptera; Bombycidae. The record is from RNAcentral.